GAUGAACGCUAGCGGCAGGCUUAACACAUGCAAGUCGAGGGGUAUAGUUCUUCGGAAUUAGAGACCGGCGCACGGGUGCGUAACGCGUAUGCAAUCUACCUUUCACAGAGGGAUGGCCCAGAGAAAUUUGGAUUAAUACCUCAUAGUAUAGCAGUUUCGCAUGAAACCACUAUUAAAGUCACAACGGUGAAAGAUGAGCAUGCGUCCCAUUAGCUAGUUGGUAAGGUAACGGCUUACCAAGGCAACGAUGGGUAGGGUCCUGAGAGGGAGAUCCCCCANACUGGUACUGAGACACGGACCAGACUCCUACGGGAGGCAGCAGUGAGGAAUAUUGGAACAAUGGGCGCAAGCCUGAUCCAGCCAUGCCGCGUGCAGGAUGACGGU
RNAcentral lists this ribosomal RNA (384 nucleotides) under uncultured bacterium. RNAcentral's name for it is "bacterial SSU rRNA". It matches the Rfam family "Bacterial small subunit ribosomal RNA", at positions 28 to 415 of the family's 1533-position model. The record is from RNAcentral.